GAUGAAGAACGUAGCGAAAUGCGAUAAGUAAUGUGAAUUGCAGAAUUCAGUGAAUCAUCGAAUCUUUGAACGCACAUUGCGCCCGCCAGUAUUCUGGCGAGCAUGCCUGUUCGAGCGUCAUUUCAACCAUCAAGCCCCAGGCUUGUGUUGGAGCCCUGCGGCUGCCGCAGCCUCCCAGAACCAGUGGCGGGCUCGCUAUCACACCGAGUGCAGUAGUUUACUCUUCGCUCAGGGCGUGUGGCGGGUGCUAGCCGUGAAACCCCCAACUUCUCAAGGUUGACCUCGGAUCAGGUAGGAAUACCCGCUGAACUUAAGCAUAUCAAUAAGCGGAGGA
Molecule: unclassified non-coding RNA, 334 nt
Filed under: soil metagenome
Description: partial contains 5.8S ribosomal RNA, internal transcribed spacer 2, and large subunit ribosomal RNA
Rfam family: 5.8S ribosomal RNA (bases 1-120)
Source: RNAcentral